UAUGGUAACAUAUUUAGCUGACUGAUACUAAUAGGUCGAGGGCUUGACCAA
RNAcentral lists this ribosomal RNA (51 nucleotides) under Clostridium beijerinckii. Its description in RNAcentral is "partial 23S ribosomal RNA". Lineage: Bacteria; Bacillati; Bacillota; Clostridia; Eubacteriales; Clostridiaceae. The record is from RNAcentral.